This 327-nucleotide ribosomal RNA is filed under the name uncultured eukaryote. RNAcentral's name for it is "partial 18S ribosomal RNA". It matches the Rfam family "Eukaryotic small subunit ribosomal RNA", at positions 1470 to 1796 of the family's 1831-position model. The record is from RNAcentral.
CCCUUAGAUGUUCUGGGCCGCACGCGCGCUACACUGAUUCAUGCAACAAGUUUUGUCCUUGGCUGAUAGGCCUGGGUAAUCUUUGAACGUGAAUCGUGAUGGGGAUAGAUGAUUGCAAUUAUUCAUCUUCAACGAGGAAUUCCUAGUAAACGCAAGUCAUCAGCUUGCAUUGAUUACGUCCCUGCCCUUUGUACACACCGCCCGUCGCACCUACCGAUUGAAUGGUCCGGUGAAAUCUUCGGAUCUGAGAGAUGUCUGAUUAAUUUCGGACGCCUUUUGAAAAAGUUGUUUAAACCUUACCAUUUAGAGGAAGGUGAAGUCGUAACA